This 1622-nucleotide ribosomal RNA is filed under the name Staphylococcus aureus SA3-LAU. Its description in RNAcentral is "bacterial LSU rRNA". It matches the Rfam family "Bacterial large subunit ribosomal RNA", at positions 1304 to 2925 of the family's 2925-position model. The record is from RNAcentral. Lineage: Bacteria; Bacillati; Bacillota; Bacilli; Caryophanales; Staphylococcaceae.
GAGUAGCGAAAGACGGGUGAGAAUCCCGUCCACCGAUUGACUAAGGUUUCCAGAGGAAGGCUCGUCCGCUCUGGGUUAGUCGGGUCCUAAGCUGAGGCCGACAGGCGUAGGCGAUGGAUAACAGGUUGAUAUUCCUGUACCACCUAUAAUCGUUUUAAUCGAUGGGGGGACGCAGUAGGAUAGGCGAAGCGUGCGAUUGGAUUGCACGUCUAAGCAGUAAGGCUGAGUAUUAGGCAAAUCCGGUACUCGUUAAGGCUGAGCUGUGAUGGGGAGGAGACAUUGUGUCUUCGAGUCGUUGAUUUCACACUGCCGAGAAAAGCCUCUAGAUAGAAAAUAGGUGCCCGUACCGCAAACCGACACAGGUAGUCAAGAUGAGAAUUCUAAGGUGAGCGAGCGAACUCUCGUUAAGGAACUCGGCAAAAUGACCCCGUAACUUCGGGAGAAGGGGUGCUCUUUAGGGUUAACGCCCAGAAGAGCCGCAGUGAAUAGGCCCAAGCGACUGUUUAUCAAAAACACAGGUCUCUGCUAAACCGUAAGGUGAUGUAUAGGGGCUGACGCCUGCCCGGUGCUGGAAGGUUAAGAGGAGUGGUUAGCUUCUGCGAAGCUACGAAUCGAAGCCCCAGUAAACGGCGGCCGUAACUAUAACGGUCCUAAGGUAGCGAAAUUCCUUGUCGGGUAAGUUCCGACCCGCACGAAAGGCGUAACGAUUUGGGCACUGUCUCAACGAGAGACUCGGUGAAAUCAUAGUACCUGUGAAGAUGCAGGUUACCCGCGACAGGACGGAAAGACCCCGUGGAGCUUUACUGUAGCCUGAUAUUGAAAUUCGGCACAGCUUGUACAGGAUAGGUAGGAGCCUUUGAAACGUGAGCGCUAGCUUACGUGGAGGCGCUGGUGGGAUACUACCCUAGCUGUGUUGGCUUUCUAACCCGCACCACUUAUCGUGGUGGGAGACAGUGUCAGGCGGGCAGUUUGACUGGGGCGGUCGCCUCCUAAAAGGUAACGGAGGCGCUCAAAGGUUCCCUCAGAAUGGUUGGAAAUCAUUCAUAGAGUGUAAAGGCAUAAGGGAGCUUGACUGCGAGACCUACAAGUCGAGCAGGGUCGAAAGACGGACUUAGUGAUCCGGUGGUUCCGCAUGGAAGGGCCAUCGCUCAACGGAUAAAAGCUACCCCGGGGAUAACAGGCUUAUCUCCCCCAAGAGUUCACAUCGACGGGGAGGUUUGGCACCUCGAUGUCGGCUCAUCGCAUCCUGGGGCUGUAGUCGGUCCCAAGGGUUGGGCUGUUCGCCCAUUAAAGCGGUACGCGAGCUGGGUUCAGAACGUCGUGAGACAGUUCGGUCCCUAUCCGUCGUGGGCGUAGGAAAUUUGAGAGGAGCUGUCCUUAGUACGAGAGGACCGGGAUGGACAUACCUCUGGUGUACCAGUUGUCGUGCCAACGGCAUAGCUGGGUAGCUAUGUGUGGACGGGAUAAGUGCUGAAAGCAUCUAAGCAUGAAGCCCCCCUUAAGAUGAGAUUUCCCAACUUCGGUUAUAAGAUCCCUCAAAGAUGAUGAGGUUAAUAGGUUCGAGGUGGAAGCAUGGUGACAUGUGGAGCUGACGAAUACUAAUCGAUCGAAGACUUAAUCAA